This 978-nucleotide non-coding RNA is filed under the name Tropicoperdix chloropus (scaly-breasted partridge). Its description in RNAcentral is "12S ribosomal RNA". It matches the Rfam family "Bacterial small subunit ribosomal RNA". Lineage: Eukaryota; Metazoa; Chordata; Aves; Galliformes; Phasianidae. The record is from RNAcentral.
AAAAGACUUAGUCCUAACCUUACUAUUGGUUUCUGCUAGACAUAUACAUGCAAGUAUCCGCAUUCCAGUGAAAAUGCCCCUAAACCUUUUCUAUUAAACAAGCAAAAGGAGCAGGCAUCAGGCACACCAUUUUAAGUAGCCCAAAACGCCUUGCUAAGCCACACCCCCACGGGUAUUCAGCAGUAAUUAACCUUAAGCAAUAAGUGUAAACUUGACUUAGUCAUAGCAACACCUAGGGUUGGUAAAUCUUGUGCCAGCCACCGCGGUCAUACAAGAGACCCAAAUCAAUAGCCACCCGGCGUAAAGAGUGGACAUAUGUUAUCUAUAUCAACUAAGAUCAAAAUGAAACCAAGCUGUCAUAAGCCAAAGAUUCACCUAAACCCCAUUCGUAAACCAUCUUAAUUACACACGAUCAAUUUAAAUCCACGAAAGCCAGGACACAAACUGGGAUUAGAUACCCCACUAUGCCUAGCCCUAAAUUCAGAUACCCUCAUACCCACGUAUCCGCCCGAGAACUACGAGCACAAACGCUUAAAACUCUAAGGACUUGGCGGUGCCCCAAACCCCCUAGAGGAGCCUGUUCUAUAAUCGAUAAUCCACGAUUCACCCAACCACCUCUUGCCAACACAGCCUACAUACCGCCGUCGUCAGCUCACCUCAAUGAAAGAACAACAGUGGGCUCAAUAGCCUUCGCUAAUAAGACAGGUCAAGGUAUAGCCCAUGAGGUGGAAGAAAUGGGCUACAUUUUCUAACAUAGAAUAAACGAAAAAGGGCAUGAAACCAGCCCUUGGAAGGAGGAUUUAGAAGUAAAAUAGGACCACACCUUCUUUAAGCCUACUUUAAAACGGCUCUGAGGCACGUACAUACCGCCCGUCACCCUCUUCACAGACCAUCAUUACUAAUAAAUAAUCUACCACUAAGGCCGAAGACGAGGCAAGUCGUAACAAGGUAAGUGUACCGGAAGGUGCACUUAGACCA